AUGGGGGGAACCCUGAUGCAGCGACGCCGCGUGCGGGAUGGAGGCCUUCGGGUCGUGAACCGCUUUUACAGGGGAGCAAGCUUUCGGGUGAGUUAACUUUGUGAAUAAGCACCGGCUAACUACGUGCCAGCAGCCGCGGUAAUACGUAGGGUGCAAGCGUUGUCCGGAUUUAUUGGGCGUAAAGGGCUCGUAGGCGGUUCGUCGCGUCUGGUGUGAAAGCCCGCUGCUUAACGGUGGGUUUGCGUUGGAUACGGGCGGGCUUGAGUGCAGUAGGGGAGACUGGAAUUCUCGGUGUAACGGUGGAAUGUGUAGAUAUCGGGAAGAACACCUAUGGCGAAGGCAGGUCUCUGGGCUGUUACUGACGCUGAGGAGCGAAAGCGUGGGGAGCGAACAGGAUUAGAUACCCUGGUAGUCCACGCUGUAAACGGUGGACGCUGGAUGUGGGGCCCAUUUCCACGGGUUCCGUGUCGGAGCUAACGCGUUAAGCGUCCCGCCUGGGGAGUACGGCCGCAAGGCUAAAACUCAUAGAAAUUGACGGGGGCCCGCACAAGCGGCGGAGCAUGCGGAUUAAUUCGAUGCAACGCGAAGAACCUUACCAGGGCUUGACAUGUUGACGAUCGCCUCAGAGAUGGGGCUUCCCUUCGGGGCGUCUGCACAGGUGGUGCAUGGUCGUCGUCAGCUCGUGUCGUGAGAUGU
RNAcentral lists this ribosomal RNA (696 nucleotides) under Parascardovia denticolens. RNAcentral's name for it is "bacterial SSU rRNA". It matches the Rfam family "Bacterial small subunit ribosomal RNA", at positions 371 to 1075 of the family's 1533-position model. Lineage: Bacteria; Bacillati; Actinomycetota; Actinomycetes; Bifidobacteriales; Bifidobacteriaceae. The record is from RNAcentral.